UCCAGCUUAUCGCUGGCGGUCCCCUUAGAGUGCCCGGCAUAACCCGAUGGUAACUAAGGGCGAGGGUUGCGCUCGUUGCGGGACUUAACCCAACAUCUCACGACACGAGCUGACGACAGCCAUGCAACACCUGUCACCGAUCCAGCCGAACUGAAGGACCAAGUUUCCAAGGUCCGCGAUCGGGAUGUCAAAAGGUGGUAAGGUUUUUCGCGUUGCAUCGAAUUAAACCACAUGCUCCACUGCUUGUGCGGGUCCCCGUCAAUUCCUUUGAGUUUUAAUCUUGCGAUCGUACUCCCCAGGCGGGGUGCUUACUGCGUUAGCUGCGUCACCGAAGCAUAAAGCCCCGACAACUAGCACCCAUCGUUUACGGCGUGGACUAC
This 380-nucleotide unclassified non-coding RNA is filed under the name uncultured Alphaproteobacteria bacterium. RNAcentral describes it as "contains 16S-23S intergenic spacer region". The record is from RNAcentral. Lineage: Bacteria; Pseudomonadati; Pseudomonadota; Alphaproteobacteria.